CCAACUCAUUGGCCAGCUCCUGCGGUUGACCUGGGAACUGUAUAAUCCAGUACUUACAGCUUCAGGCCAAACACAUUCCAGACUAAACGUUCUGCAGGCUUCACUGCACCUACUCUCACCAGCACCACCCCUCCCGCACCCCGCACCUCCCUCACCCAGCGCACCUCCCUCACCCAGCGCAGACACUCAGAGCCUUUGGGCACCUAAAGCCCUGGAGCAUGUCAGGACUUUGACCUUUCAAGGGUCAAAGUUGGGGGUUGGGGGACGGUGGGAGUGGUCCUGCAGAGACCAGCAACACCCAGAUAAUUUAAGAGCAAGGCCCCUGGAGAUGGGUAUCAUUACCUCCAGGGUUCCUUUUAGCUCAAAUCUCAAUAGCUCCUCGCAGAGCACACGCACCAAAAAAGCACAAGAAAAUGGGGAAGGGGAAGGUCAUCGCCUCCUGACAAGCAAGGGUGACAAACACUGCAGCAAGAAGAAAAUAGAGACCGAGUUGCAGGAAGACAGCAGAGAAGAAUCCGAGAGCACACACGGUCUCCUCGGGCAUUCCCUCCGUCUCCGGGUCUCCCCCAUCCCACCCCACCCCCGGGUCGCAGCGCUCCGGGGCGGUGGCCUCUGUUGAUCCCAGGCCUCUUUGGGUCCAGAAUCCAUCGCUGACUCUCACUUACCGUUUGCCCGGCUUUUUCUGCAGCGCGGGUUCGGGGCGGAGAGGACUGGCUCGGAAGGGCAGCGGCCGUUCCCUAAGGCAAGGAGCUUCUCAGGGAGAUGCUGGCCGUAGAUCCGGAAUGGGGACCCCAGCACCCGUCCAGGGAGUGCGGCAGGGCAAUUUGUUGAGAAAUAAACCUGAGACAAUUUAUGAACAAAAUCUUGAGCCUGUUGGCCUCUGGACUGGAACUCCACCAUGCGCUCUCCUGUCUGCAGCUGGCUGAUUGCAGAGCUCCAAACUCCCUGGCCUCCGCCAUCGCCUGAGCCAACUCCUUGCAAUAAAUCAAUGUCUUCUACCCCUAUCUAUACAGAUUUACCUAUCUGUAGCCCCUCACUGGGGCUUUUCUUUAUUUACCAGGCAGGCCUUGCUCCCUGUGUGUUUUCCUAAGCUUUUUUUUUCUCUCCUCACCACCCCUAAAAGCACUAUAUUGCAUAACAAAGGGACUUCUAGUGUGGGAGGGGGACAUUUUAGAACACUGAAAGUAACUCUUCACUGUAGUCUGUGAUAAAAGCCUCGAGAAAAAUAAAUCAGCUACUGGAGGGCCUUUAUGGUUGAUU
Long non-coding RNA from Mustela lutreola (European mink), 1260 nucleotides. RefSeq lists it as uncharacterized. NCBI's taxonomy places the organism in Eukaryota, Metazoa, Chordata, Mammalia, Carnivora, Mustelidae. The record is from RefSeq and is a predicted model, not a curated record. The transcript is spliced from 4 exons.